Molecule: long non-coding RNA, 1628 nt
Organism: Gasterosteus aculeatus aculeatus (three-spined stickleback)
Lineage: Eukaryota; Metazoa; Chordata; Actinopteri; Perciformes; Gasterosteidae
Source: Ensembl
UAAGUAAAAAUCUUGCAAUUUUAUUUGCAUAUAAAGGCAGCUAAAUAUAUCACAAUGAACUGAAAGAGAGAACUAACAUUUCCAUGAAGAGGGAUACAAUCAGAAAGAGCGAGAGGAACAGAAAGAGCAUUUACAGCGGCAAAGUUGAGACAACUAUUGGCAACAUUUUUUUUUUGUGCUAGCAAGAUUGCAUUUACACACAGUGCAAAAUUAGAAAAAGAAAGCAAUUAAAAACACAAAUACUAUCAGUUACACUUUUAAGGACAACUUUACCAGGCUUAGGCAGGCGUGUUGUUGGGUACAAGCGGCACCUGUUGGAUUGUGACGAAUUCUUCCUCUCUCAUCCGAAAUGAACGUCCACCCCCACUGGGCGAGUCGAUACAAAAAACAUUAUACAAACGCAUGAAGGGCGUCCGAUGGGAGCGUUAAAGAAACAAGUCAAUUGUACAGGCGCGCACAGAAAAAAAGAAAAAUGCACCAGAUCAUAUUUUUUUUCCGUCAACCACAACUUUUAGUACAGAUGUUUUACAACAUGAAUAUAUAAUAUAUAUAUAUUUUUUAUACAUACAUUUUCCAAAUUAGAUCAGGAAUCCGUAGCGAGGUGUUACAAGGGGAGUUUUCCGGGCUGUUUUUUCGGUAGCUUUCCGUCCCUGCGUUAGUCAGCUGUUGUUUUGCGGGGUAAUAAAUAAGGACUCUCUCUGAGCUCGCAGAGAGUGGGGCUCUAGCUGAGAACAUUAAAGCUAGUUUAAGGCAGCGUCCCUGUCAGCCAAUAAGAGAAGAGGAACUGACGAGAAAAACAAUGCAAAAAAAAAAAAAGAGCUAAACACAAAAAUAUCAGAUGAUACACCAUGAAGCAAUGGCAUCCAUUGUCCGGCCAAUGCAAACCAAACACAAAGAAAUUGUACAAAUUCACAAAGCAUCAUUUAUCUUACAGAUCUGACCAAUAUUAAUAUCAAGAGCAAGAUUGUUUAACCACAAAAGUCCCUCAAAAAAGGAGAAUACCGGUGCCACUGGCGACUGUUGUUCCCCGAAUACAUUUUGCAUGGCACACUUCUGUUGACUUGUUCGCUUUUUUUUUUUUUUUUUUUAGCACAUUCACAGCGUGAAUAUUGUCUUUUCUUGCGAUCAUUAAAUGACGUCAGGAAGGAAUCAGAUAUGAAGUGUGUAACUGAACCGAAACAUUGAUUUCAUGUCCAGAAAAUCAGCUUAUUAGAAAAUAACUUGAUGGCAUCAUCGUCGCAAAAAGAACAGCCGUGUCCACGCUCUCUUCUCGUCUGCACUAAGGCAACUUAUUUUGGCGGGGUGACUUCCUGUGUGAGGCUGUUCAACAGGAAGUGGACCGUCGAUGUAGAAAUGUGGAAGUGGGUUUUUUCGGACUCAACGAGAAUGUGUGUAGGAAAAAAAACAAAAAAAACAGAAAUCCGAGGGGGAACACAGCAUUGUUAGCACAACUAGAAAUAAAGACAACAAAAAGACCACCGGUGUUCUCCUUUAACCCCCCCCCCCAAAUUCCCCCCAUUCUCAAUGACAGCUUGGAGAAGUUUGCAAAAAAACACUUAGUACUUUUUUUUUUCUUCUUUUUUUCAACUGGACAUAUUUAUAGAAAAGAAAGUCGUUUUUUUGUCCCC